RNAcentral lists this ribosomal RNA (441 nucleotides) under uncultured bacterium. Its description in RNAcentral is "partial 16S ribosomal RNA". It matches the Rfam family "Bacterial small subunit ribosomal RNA", at positions 338 to 795 of the family's 1533-position model. The record is from RNAcentral.
CCUACGGUGAGCAGCAGUGGGGAAUAUUGCACAAUGGGGGGAACCCUGAUGCAGCGACGCCGCGUGGGUGAAGGAGUAUUUCGGUAUGUAAAGCCCUAUCAGCAGGGAAGAACAAUGACGGUACCUUACUAAGAAGCACCGGCUAAAUACGUGCCAGCAGCCGCGGUAAUACGUAUGGUGCAAGAGUUAUCCGGAUGUACUGGGUGUAAAGGGAGCGCAGGCGGCGCGUUAAGCCUGGUGUGAAAGCCCUCGGCACAACCGCGGGACUGCAUUGGGAACUGGCGCGCUGGAGUGCCGGAGGGGUAGGCGGAAUUCCUAGUGUAGCGGUGAAAUGCGGAGAGAGUAGGAGGAACACCAGUGGCGAAGGCGGCCUACUGGACGGUGACUGACGCUGAGGCUCGAAAGCGUGGGGAGCAAACAGGAGUAGAUACCCCGGUAGUC